AACGUUUUACGUUUAGUCUUCGAUCAGAGUUCAGUUGAAUUUCAAUUCAACUAUACAUAUAAAACAAUAAAGAAACCAACGCCAUCAUCAACAUGUACAAAAUCGUAUUUGUCGUAGCCGUGUUCGUCUUCGCGUUCCAGGGUGCUUUCAGUAGCCCCGUUGACGAAACCAAGGUCGAAAAAGUGUCCAACUCUGAAAUUCGACCAAACAAUGUAGUGGAGAACGCCGAUACACAAGCGCCUACUACCGUAACGGAGGCAGCUACUACCACUACAGCCCCAAAGAGUGGAGCUUCCAGCUCAGAAGUUUGCAUACUGCUCGUUCAAGUUUCAUCGUUAGCGCUAAUUGCCAAGCAAAUGCUGUUGUAAAUUUAAUUAAGUAUGUAGUUUGACGAAAAAGUGUAACUAAUUUCAAAUAUACGAUUACUCACUACAUAAUAUAUUGUUUUAUUAUUCGUACUUUUAUUUUCAUACAUAUUAUAAUGUUUAUUAAUUAUUAUGAUUAAAUCAAUAUUCUAUAAGAUAAUAUUAUUGUAGUAGUUACGUCUUAUUACUUCACUAUUAGCAUAUGAAAUAUAUUAUUUUUUUUUCGAUGUAUAAUUAUAUGCAAAAUAACAAAUUGA
Long non-coding RNA from Rhopalosiphum maidis (corn leaf aphid), 622 nucleotides. RefSeq lists it as uncharacterized. NCBI's taxonomy places the organism in Eukaryota, Metazoa, Arthropoda, Insecta, Hemiptera, Aphididae. The record is from RefSeq and is a predicted model, not a curated record. The transcript has 2 exons.